RNAcentral lists this long non-coding RNA (588 nucleotides) under Marmota monax (woodchuck). The record is from RNAcentral. Lineage: Eukaryota; Metazoa; Chordata; Mammalia; Rodentia; Sciuridae.
CUCACUGAGUUGCUGAGGCUGGCUUUGAACUCCUGAUCCUCCUGCCUCAGCCUCCUGAGCUGCUGGGAUUACAGGUGUAGGCUAUCAUUUUUUAAAAGUAGGAAUCAUCAAGGGAGAAAAUGAAAGGAAGGAAUGUGGACGUAGUAGCACCCUCUAAAACAGUGGUUUCCAACUUAAGCCAACAGCAGACCCUUGGAGGGCUUGCUGAACCCAGGCUGCUCCACCAGGUUCAGCAGGUGCAAGGAGGGGCUGAGGCUCUGCAUUGUUAACAUCCCUCCCCACCCAGGGUGACAGUGCUGCUCCAGGGAUCAGCUUUCAGGAUGCAGCUCUAGAAUAGCCUAAUGUGGGUGGUUCCUGAUUUUUAAGCACCCUGAGAUUCAGGACAAGGAAGAAAAUGUGGCAGGGUAGGGGUGAGAGUGACCAGAGGAGGAGGAGCAGAAAGGCAGAGUAUAAACUCGGAGGUGAGGCUCGCCCAGGUGCAUGUCCUCUGAGGGCUAUCAGAGGCGAUGAGGCACCUGGUGGUCUGGGUGCUGCUGGCUGUCUGCAUGUGUGGCCUGGAUGCAGGUGACAGGGAGAGGCUGGUGAGGG